RNAcentral lists this ribosomal RNA (301 nucleotides) under uncultured bacterium. RNAcentral describes it as "partial 16S ribosomal RNA". It matches the Rfam family "Bacterial small subunit ribosomal RNA", at positions 509 to 808 of the family's 1533-position model. The record is from RNAcentral.
CAGUCGCCGCGGUAAUACGUAGGUCCCGAGCGUUGUCCGGAUUUAUUGGGCGUAAAGCGAGCGCAGGCGGUUAGAUAAGUCUGAAGUUAAAGGCUGUGGCUUAACCAUAGUACGCUUUGGAAACUGUUUAACUUGAGUGCAAGAGGGGAGAGUGGAAUUCCAUGUGUAGCGGUGAAAUGCGUAGAUAUAUGGAGGAACACCGGUGGCGAAAGCGGCUCUCUGGCUUGUAACUGACGCUGAGGUGCGAAAGCGUGGGGAGCAAACAGGAUUAGAUACCCCCGUAGUCCCUGUCUCUUAUACA